RNAcentral lists this ribosomal RNA (398 nucleotides) under uncultured bacterium. Its description in RNAcentral is "bacterial SSU rRNA". It matches the Rfam family "Bacterial small subunit ribosomal RNA", at positions 358 to 774 of the family's 1533-position model. The record is from RNAcentral.
GGAAUAUUGGGCAAUGGAGGAAACUCUGACCCAGCCAUGCCGCGUGAGUGAGAAGGUCUUCGGAUUGUAAAGCUCUUUUAUGCAGGAAGAUGAUGACAGUACUGCAAGAAAAAGCACCGGCAAACUUCGUGCCAGCAGCCGCGGUAAUACGAAGGGUGCGAGCGUUGUUCGGAAUUACUGGGCGUAAAGGGUGUGUAGGCGGAUUGUUAAGAUAGCGGUGAAAUGCCCGGGCUUAACCUGGGAAUUGCCGUUAUGACUAAUGAUCUAGAGUGACAGAGAGGAUACUGGAAUACCCAGUGUAGAGGUGAAAUUCGUAGAUAUUGGGUAGAACACCGGUGGCGAAGGCGAGUAUCUGGCUGUAGACUGACGCUGAGGCACGAAAGCAUGGGGAUCAAACA